Molecule: long non-coding RNA, 512 nt
Filed under: Fukomys damarensis (Damara mole-rat)
Lineage: Eukaryota; Metazoa; Chordata; Mammalia; Rodentia; Bathyergidae
Description: lncRNA (ENSFDAG00000028147.1)
Source: RNAcentral
UUCUCUGAAGAUAUCCAAAGUUCUGAUGGAACAUGGUGAUCUCUCCAACCAACUAUGAAGAUCUGAUGUCCCUUUAUUGCACUUGUUCACCUCUGUUCUAUCUUCUGGAGCUCAGAAAAAUGAGCUUUAUGACCACCUGUGCCUUUUCACAAUCAGGCAGAAUCAGGAGGCCUGCAGGGUUGGGGGGCUGUGUGAUUAUUUCAGAGGUGCUCCAGUCCUCACUUGUUGACUUGAGGCAGGCCAGAGCAAGGAGACGGGAUCCCUGCAUGGCAGCUGUCCUGGACCUCCACUUUCCACCUUCGGCUGGAUGCAGGCCAGGGAGAAGGCGGGCUAUUGUGCCUUUCAAGAUUGAAUAUAACCUUUGGCACUCAGAACCUGUGAACUAGAGUUUCUCGCUGAGUAUCAGUGGAAUCUUAUCUCCAGCAUGAUCUUCUCGUUAUGGUCUACUCAGUCACCGCAGAAUCUGCUGUUUUCGCUUGUUGGCUGCCGAGACUCCGGCUGUGGCUCCAGCC